RNAcentral lists this transfer RNA (69 nucleotides) under Styela plicata. Its description in RNAcentral is "transfer RNA-Asp". Lineage: Eukaryota; Metazoa; Chordata; Ascidiacea; Stolidobranchia; Styelidae. The record is from RNAcentral.
UAAUAUUUAGGAUAGGACUUAAAUCCAUUAUGUUGUCAACAUAAAAACCAUCGGUGAGAUGAAUAUUAU